CAGCAGCCGCGGUAAUACGUAGGUCCCGAGCGUUGUCCGGAUUUAUUGGGCGUAAAGCGAGCGCAGGCGGUUAGAUAAGUCUGAAGUUAAAGGCUGUGGCUUAACCAUAGUACGCUUUGGAAACUGUUUAACUUGAGUGCAAGAGGGGAGAGUGGAAUUCCAUGUGUAGCGGUGAAAUGCGUAGAUAUAUGGAGGAACACCGGUGGCGAAAGCGGCUCUCUGGCUUGUAACUGACGCUGGGGCUCGAAAGCGUGGGGAGCAAACAGGAUUAGAUACCCCAGUAGUCCCUGUCUCUUAUACA
RNAcentral lists this ribosomal RNA (301 nucleotides) under uncultured bacterium. RNAcentral describes it as "partial 16S ribosomal RNA". It matches the Rfam family "Bacterial small subunit ribosomal RNA", at positions 509 to 808 of the family's 1533-position model. The record is from RNAcentral.